Molecule: microRNA precursor, 142 nt
Filed under: Olea europaea subsp. europaea
Lineage: Eukaryota; Viridiplantae; Streptophyta; Magnoliopsida; Lamiales; Oleaceae
Source: RNAcentral
CCAACAGAAGACAUUUGGCAGUAUGCCCACCUCCAUAUCGUAAGAUCUAGAGACACAGAGAGUAUAAAAGAUUUUGUUUUUGUAUUGGGUUAUCGAAUUUUGUUACUAGGAGGUGGACAGAAUGCCAAAUAAUCUCUGUAAG